UGAGGGUAUUAUAGUAAACAACCACCGUGAGAGUUAGCGUGAGAGCGCCACAUAGGAAAGUGACUUCUAUAGAGAUAUUGUUUUGAGGAAACGUGAGAACUGUUAUUGAUAGAUAGUAAAUCGCUGUUUUAUGAAGAAAAAAAAAAAUCGCUGAAGGGUGAAGCCCAUCGAAAAAUAUGAAGCUGAGAAUUUGGUUAUAAAAGAUUCAGGACCCUUUAUUAAUAAGGCCUUAAACCAAGGCCUUAGUGGAUCUCUCAUUUUAACCAGUGGAUGUUUUAUUUUAUAUCGAUAAUGAUUAAAAAGCCUUUCAAAUUCUAACUCCUAUUAGAUUAAAUAUUUGUUGGGCCUUUAUUUGAAAGGCUUUU
This 365-nucleotide long non-coding RNA is filed under the name Brassica napus (rape). Its description in RNAcentral is "long non-coding RNA (BNAP_LNC001531)". Lineage: Eukaryota; Viridiplantae; Streptophyta; Magnoliopsida; Brassicales; Brassicaceae. The record is from RNAcentral.